This 1253-nucleotide long non-coding RNA is filed under the name Cricetulus griseus (Chinese hamster). Its description in RNAcentral is "lncRNA (ENSCGRG00015041699.1)". The record is from RNAcentral. Lineage: Eukaryota; Metazoa; Chordata; Mammalia; Rodentia; Cricetidae.
CUUAGAGCAUAAUGCACAUUUCUGUUUUUUAAAGAAUCCUCAGAUUUAAGAAAAAACAAAAAAAAUCUACCUUUAAGUCAGUUAAUCAUCACUAACACCACAUAGAGAGAAAUUAGGGAAAUAAUACAUCUGAUAAGCCAUGCAUAAGCAAUAAUUGACUAAUUUUAAAGUAUCCAAUAGUUUACCUAGAGAUUCUCUUUGUUCUCUCUUCCUCACACUCCUAGUCUCUUUUCUGAGCAUGCUCUGUUUUGAUGAGUACUCCCAUGCUCUCCCAUAUUCCCCAGGAUUGAACACAAAGGAGUCAGUUAUUGCCUGUUAUCCUCAAUGGAAUCCUCCUAAUUGCAGUUUAAAACUGACUACUAACGAAAGGCGAAAAUGAAUGCAGAACACGAGAGACAGACCAAAAAAAAACCUGGCAGGAUUCAUCUAAAAAUAUACAGAAAAUAUGAAAACUAAGGGCAGUCUAAUGGAUUAUAUGAAUAAAAUAUUACAUAGCACAAUCUGGAGCAAGUGCUUCAUGACAAAAUGAGUAAUAGUUGAUGGAAUUUAGAUCUCUGUAGAGAAGGAAUUGCAAUUUUUACUAGGCCUAUUUUUCUCCUUUCCCACUCUUGUUAGCUCAUUUAUAAAGUGAUGAAAAGAAAUCAUUGCAAGUGCUGCUAAAUGAUUGAAGAUGACUUCAGGGACACGUUGAGCUUGCUCUCUGCUGCAGAAUAAUAGACAAAUGCCAGAAGGAUCCCUGAGAGAGCAGUCAUGGAAGAGAGCCCGAAAUGGAAAGAAGCAGUGCUGUGUAGCUGUUUCUUCCAGUUUGAAACAUUCCUUUGGAGAAGGAAGAGGGAGGCUUAUAAGACUCAAGAAGAAACGUGAGGCCUUUACAGUAUCAGACGUUUAAGAAAGUUAUGACCCACCGGGCUUCUUCUCAAGAUUGUAAAUUAAGAAGCCUGGCAUUGGUGGUGCACGCCUUUAAUCCCAGCACUCGGGAGACAGAGGCAGGUGGAUGUCUCUGAGUUCGAGGCCAGCGUGGUCUCCAGAGCAAGUGCCAGGGUAGGCUCCAAAGCUACACAGAGAAACCCUGUCUCAAGAAAUCAAAAAAAAAAAAAAGAAAGAAAGAAAGAAAGAAAGAAGAAAGAAAUUAAGAAAUCUUUAAUGUAUACACAUUAGUCUUCUAUUCCUGGGAGUUUCUUUGAAUUUAUUGCACAUGAGAUGGAAUGAUAUAUCCCACAACUCAAUAAACAAAGCACAUAAUGAAUUUAAAA